UUUCAAUAGAAGAAACAAGUACAAACCAACAUUCUCAACAUCAAAAUUCUGUAUAAACUGAUUGCGUUACGAAGUAUCCGAUACAAAAUGAAUCAGUUCAUUUUUUAUUUGAGCAUUGUUAUCUUCAAUAUAUUCUUGGCUAACAGAGAAAUAAUGGCCCAAAGUAAUAAGGAUGAAGUAGAAGCAACUCCUCCAUGGGUAGUUAUCAUACGACCACCCCCUAUCAUUGUUAUUAUACCAGGUGCUGUUCUGACAGCUGCUGAUGACAAUAAAAGAUCAGAGGUCAAUGGUAAACGCUAAAUACCACUUCCCAUAUCUAACCAAAGAAGAAGAAAACAA
This 339-nucleotide long non-coding RNA is filed under the name Androctonus crassicauda. The record is from RNAcentral. Lineage: Eukaryota; Metazoa; Arthropoda; Arachnida; Scorpiones; Buthidae.